UAUACCUUAUGGUUCUAAAUCAGAUAUUUGGUCCUUGGGUUAGUACUUGUGUUAUGAUGAUUUGUUCUCCAUAAACUAUCUAUUAGUAUUGGUUUAUUGAUUUUCUUCUUGUUUCUUCUUGUUAAUGAUUUUCUUGUUCAUGAAGUAGAAAUUGUAUUAUUGCAUUGUAGUUAUAAGUAUUAAUUUUGAUUCUUUUCUUGUUAAUGAUUUUCUGAGCCCAUACUAAUUUUUGCGGUUUGUACAUCUUUCAUUUUCCUAUGAUCUAUAGAUUAUCACUUAAUUGUUCAAUUUGCU
This 294-nucleotide long non-coding RNA is filed under the name Trifolium pratense (red clover). Its description in RNAcentral is "long non-coding RNA (TPRA_LNC010656)". Lineage: Eukaryota; Viridiplantae; Streptophyta; Magnoliopsida; Fabales; Fabaceae. The record is from RNAcentral.